This 467-nucleotide ribosomal RNA is filed under the name uncultured bacterium. Its description in RNAcentral is "partial 16S ribosomal RNA". It matches the Rfam family "Bacterial small subunit ribosomal RNA", at positions 28 to 507 of the family's 1533-position model. The record is from RNAcentral.
GACGAACGCUGGCGGCGUGCUUAACACAUGCAAGUCGAACGAUGACGACCGAGCUUGCUCGGUCUGAUUAGUGGCGAACGGGUGAGUAACACGUGAGCAACCUGCCCUUCACUCUGGGAUAACCUCGGGAAAUCGGGGCUAAUACCGGAUAUGAGCUCCUGUCGCAUGGCGGGUGUUGGAAAGUUUUUCGGUGAAGGAUGGGCUCGCGGCCUAUCAGUUUGUUGGUGAGGUAGUGGCUCACCAAGGCGAUGACGGGUAGCCGGCCUGAGAGGGCGACCGGCCACACUGGGACUGAGACACGGCCCAGACUCCUACGGGAGGCAGCAGGGGGGAAUAUUGCACAAUGGGCGAAAGCCUGAUGCAGCGACGCCGCGUGAGGGAUGACGGCCUUCGGGUUGUAAACCUCUUUCAGCAGGGAAGAAGCGAAAGUGACGGUACCUGCAGAAGAAGCGCCGGCUAACUACGUG